AUUCCCCUAGUAACUGCGAGUGAAGCGGGAAAAGCUCAAAUUUAAAAUCUGGUGGUCUUUGGCCAUCCGAGUUGUAAUUUAGAGAAGCGUCUUCCGCGCUGGACCGUGCACAAGUCUCCUGGAAUGGAGCGUCAUAGAGGGUGAGAAUCCCGUCUUUGGCAUGGAAUCCCAGGGCUUCUGUGAUGCGCUCUCGACGAGUCGAGUUGUUUGGGAAUGCAGCUCAAAAUGGGUGGUGAACUCCAUCUAAAGCUAAAUAUUGGCGAGAGACCGAUAGCGAACAAGUACCGUGAGGGAAAGAUGAAAAGCACUUUGGAAAGAGAGUGAAACAGUACGUGAAAUUGUUGAAAGGGAAACGCUUGAAGUCAGUCGCGUCGACCGAGACUCAGCCUUGCCUCGGCUUGGUGUACUUCUCGGCUGACGGGUCAGCAUCGAUUUCGAUCCUCGGAUAAUGGCAAGGGAAAGGUAGCACCUUUUUAGGUGUGUUAUAGUCCUCUGUCGCAUGCGAGGGUCGGGAUCGAGGAACUCAGCACGCACCUCAGGGUGUCGGGGCCUUGGCCCACGUUUACGUGCUUAGGAUGCUGGCGUAAUGGCUUUAAACGACCCGUCUUGAAACACGGACCAAGGAGUCUAACAUACCCGCGAGUGUUCGGGUGGAAAACCCGUGCGCGUAAUGAAAGUAAAAGUUGGGACCUCUGUCGCGGAGGGCACCGACGCCCGGACCAGACCUUCUGUGACGGCUCUGCGGUAGAGCGUGUAUGUUGGGACCCGAAAGAUGGUGAACUAUGCCUGAAUAGGGUGAAGCCAGAGGAAACUCUGGUGGAGGCUCGUAGCGAUUCUGACGUGCAAAUCGAUCGUCAAAUUUGGGUAUAGGGGCGAAAGAC
Molecule: ribosomal RNA, 881 nt
Filed under: Russula medullata
Lineage: Eukaryota; Fungi; Basidiomycota; Agaricomycetes; Russulales; Russulaceae
Description: eukaryotic LSU rRNA
Rfam family: Eukaryotic large subunit ribosomal RNA
Source: RNAcentral